This is a long non-coding RNA of Phasianus colchicus (ring-necked pheasant), 1680 nucleotides long. Lineage: Eukaryota; Metazoa; Chordata; Aves; Galliformes; Phasianidae. The record is from Ensembl.
CAUGUUAAAGGGAAACAAGAAGAUGAACAGACCAGGCCUGGCUGUGCAGCGAUCAUUCUUCUGAGAAGCCUGUGUGAGGAGAUGCUGGUCUGGGAGUCAAUCUGAGGAAAAGCAGAAGAUAUUUGCUUUAUAUCCGAAGUAUUAUUCAAGGGAGUUCACUCCAGAAGACAAGAGAACUGUUGGUACAUGAUGAAUAUAAAGCUCUAAGACUUGGUGCUGAAAGAUACUUCUCUCAGAAGUGUGCAUUUAUUGUUUGAUACCUUUGGUGAUACGUGCUGCUUCACCUACCAUCUCUCUGUAAGUGUGGUCUCACUUUCACUGUUAUUGCAACAUGUGUCAAGUGAAAUGAAAACAGAAAUUUGGGAAAGGAUAUAAUUAACCUACCUGUGAACAUUACCCUUAAAUAUUGUGCUAAUUACCUCAAUAAUUUAAAUCACUGCAGAUCUCAAACUUAUUUGUUAAAUAUUUAAUUCUGCAAAUUGUUUCUGAUACAGAGGUGUGGGUAGCUUUCUGUGAAUAUAACCUUCUAUAUAAAACUCCUUACAAAACCAUUGUAUAUUUGCACUUCAGCAGAAAAAUCCACUGUCAACAAGACUUUUAAUGGCAAUCACAGAAAACGUGCCCUGGGGCUAAGAGAUAUAGUGCCCUGCUACUCGUAAAUCUAAUGAACGUGUUGUGUGCUGAGUAGGCCACAGUAAAUUUCUGUCUGCACAUCUUCAGGUUUGAUUCCAUGGUAGUCUAGACUGGAAAGUUUCUUCUGCCUUGUUUCUUUGGCUGUGGUGCAGUUGUGUGGUUGUUUCUUAUCUAUUCACCUGAUUACUUAAGUCACUGACCACAUCAUGUCCUCGAUCUUCAUCCCUUCUCAUCAAGUGAAUAUUUUGUGCUGCUUCUAGGCCAUGGGGACACUCUCAGCCACUGCUGCUGGGGAGCCAGGCCAUGGGAGCUGGGCAAACUGCCAGACGGGAGGAUGGCUGGCAGAGAGGGCGCAGGAGGUGGGGGGCAGGCCCUUACAACCCUGGCACCCCAGUCUUUCAUCCCAUGGAAAAAACAAGUCUCUCUUCCUUCAUCUUUCCCCAGGGGCAUCAGCCAGCCCUGUGUUUCAGGCUGUACCGGAUGGCAGUACUUCUUUGUUUUUGUAAUGUAUGUCUCCUUUACUGAGAAAGAAGAUGGAAGAUUGGCUUUGACAUUGUGUUGCUGCACUGUAAAUUUUACUAUUAGAGUAAAGUGCAAAGGUACCCUAAAUCCAUGUGAUGGCUCACACCAGACCUCUGUCAGGAGCUCUUUGAUUAGCCCAGUGCACAACACUAUCUGUUACACACGGAUACCGGCAAUAUUACAAGGUGGACUCCAGGGAUAAGAGACAGCCAACCCCGCACACCUCCCACGCCUGAGUCAUACCCGGGGUAACGCCAGGUCCUGCUCAUACCUGCUGUCGGCAGAAAUGAAACCGUACGAGCCGUUGUGUUUCAGAGCCUUUUUUAAUUGAUUCUCCAGAAUGCUUGAUCUUACCUGCUGAUAUCCCUGUGUUAUUAUUCAGAGGCACAGUCUAUCUGCAUAGCAAUGGACAAAAUGCCUGUGAAAAUAUUGCUAUUCAUUCAGUCGAUGUCGGAACUGGAGUAGGCACUAGCUACACUCUGCAAUGCUUGUCCUGGAAUAUCAAUAAAUAAAUCAUAAAAGCCA